UGGAGAGGAAGAGGUUUGGAGCAAACUCAAGAGUUCUGUUCUGGAUCUUGAGGAAGUGCGCUCUUUUCCUCUUUCCACUCCACUCCGUCAUCUUCCUAAAGUUAAUAAAGUCAGAACCCUAAACCUAUUGGCCCUGUGGGCAAAUCUAAGUGGGCGAUAUGGCGUGAUGCUAGGAAACAUGCGAGAGUCUCACGGACAGCACAAGCUGCAAGGGAGUAUUUUCUCAUCACCUCAACAGUGUUUAGAAGAGAGAAGUGCUACCAUUUGACCGCUGAAGUUGUUACAUUAGCACAGUGUGGAUAGGGCUUUCCCAGGAGCAGAUCCUGAGACAAGGGUGUGCGUGCAAGGAGUGUGAUUGGGAGGUGACCUCAGAAGGCACUGGCAGGAGAACAGGUGAGUGAGGAAGGGGAGGGAUGAACCAAGUCAGGGUUUGUCAACAAGCAGGUUAUACUGUGGACAGCUGGGUGUGGUCCUGCUGGGACAUCUGGGAGAAAGCCUCGAAUGUGCACUGAAUUGCCCCUCCCGGGGACAAACACUGGGCUAUUUAUCUUCCAGGUCCUGCUCAUCAUUGAAGGAUGGACCUGGGGGCAUCAACUCUCCAGCAUCUGUUGACCCCUCAUGCUGGCCCUCGGAGAAAGCCUGCCGGUGGAGCAUCGCAGGUUUUUUCAGGAGGAACCUGCUGGUGGACACCAUCGAACACUCUCUUGAUGAGACUGAUGCUGAUUCUAUGAUUCCACCAUGAAAUGGAAAUCCCAUAUACUGAGGCAUUGCCUUUUUGUGGUUAUUCUUUUCAACCACAUAAGGCUGGCAAAGGACUCAGAAACUCCUGAGAGUUCCCAGUGAAGGAAAACUUUAAUAUUUGUCACAGUAACUCAUGGACAGAUGAAUGGGAGAAAAGUCACAGAAGUGGUGAUGGGAAGAAGAAGGAGAGGAUAAGGGCAGAAAGAAGAGAAGUGGAAAGAUGGAAACACUUUGUUCAUUGGUAAGUCAUCUGUUAGGACCUUUAUGGUUCCGUAUCUAGGACUGUUAUUUUCCUAAAGUUGGGACAGCUGAGAUUCAGGAUUUUCACUAUUUUUAGCCAGGGGUGAUAAUCUGGCUCUGCCAUGGGUCAAAUUCCACCACUACAGACUUUCGUUUGGCCAGCAAGACAUUUUAAAAAUAUUUGCAUUUCCAAUGGCUAGGCUAGGUUAGGUUAUACUGCAGUAACAAGUAACUCCCAUGCCUUAGGCGCUCAACACAACUAGAGUUUAUUUCUUGUUCAUGUCACAUGUCCGAGGAUGUAUUCUUCUCAUAGCAUCCACGCAGGGACUCAUGCUCUUGGCAGCUUUCUCUUGACAUAGGCUUGCAGGGCCACUGCCACAGUGAAGGCAAGGAGGCAGAGUGAAUGGCUCACUGGUUCUCGAAUCUUUGUCCUGGAAGGUCACCUGCCACUUCGUCUAGAUUUCAUUGCCAGGGCAAGUUGCAUGACUCUCCUAACUUCAGAGGAAGAGGGAAAGGUAAACUGUAGCAGAUGCCUGGAGAGCUGAUCAGCUCUAAUGGGGCACAGCACUGAUGACAACCACGGCUGUGCCCUCUGCAGCUGGCAUGAUCCCACCCUCCCUAUUGUCUUACAUUUUAUGUUACCUUCCAGUUCCAAAAGGCACUC
Long non-coding RNA from Macaca mulatta (Rhesus monkey), 1645 nucleotides. The record is from Ensembl. NCBI's taxonomy places the organism in Eukaryota, Metazoa, Chordata, Mammalia, Primates, Cercopithecidae.